CUUAAAAUAGUUGUAAUAAAAUUUUACGGUAAUAAACUCGCGUCUUUAUUAGCUAAAUCCAAAACCAAGGCUGUGGGAGAGAAAACAGAUCAAAAUAAAGUGGAGGGAAGGAAACAGAGAAAUGUGAUGAUAUUUAUAUAGUUUUUAGAGCAAACUCACCGAAUUUUUGCACGCAAUAAGUUACGAAAAGGUUCAAAUACACCAUGUUUUCAUUCACAACAAAAGAAAAUGACAAUAAAGUAAACUCUCACUUCAGUUUUUCAUGCAGAGUAACGGACGGCUGAAAAUGCCCGUAAACUUAAAUAAAUAAUUACUUGUAAAAAAAAAAAACGUAGCAUUUUAAACUUGUCAAUUUAAGACGUAACAGUACUGCUAAAAAUUUUAACACAAAAAAUUGUAAUGAUUGGGUAAUACUAAAGAUAAACUCUACUUGUAAUAACUAAUUAUUGCCACAUGUCUUAUUUCCUCAGUGUGUGUUGUGUAUGAUUUUUUGCCAUUUGCAAAUGUGAGACGCAUAGCAAUUAACAAGUCGUGUUAGUUUGUGUACUAGUUUACAGAUUUGGCAUGACUUUAUUCCCCUAUAAUAAAAGGUGGGGAGCAGUUGUAAUAUGGCAGAGCACCUGCCUCAAACGCACUCUUAAUGUUCAAACAUAAACUUAGUUAUCAGGUUGUUUGAAUUGCUUGAUUCAAAUCUUUAUUUUUAAAGCUGUUUUUUUUUUUUACAAAUGGUUGAAAGGACCCUAAAGUUUUCAAUAAACGCAAAGAAAAAUAAUGGAAAAAAUUGUUGAUCACUUCAAGGAAAUUUUCCUCUAAUUUUUCGUAACAUUGACUUUUAUUUUAUUGCUCGAAUGUGAGUUUGUAUUUGACACGCAAGAUUAGAUUAUACUAAAUAUUAUGAUCGGGCUGGAUUAAAUUGGAUUAUAUAAUAUUAUCUUAUAUUUGGUGCAAUAUUAGAUUGGACAAUACUAAAUUAUAUUUAAU
Molecule: long non-coding RNA, 981 nt
Filed under: Citrus x clementina
Lineage: Eukaryota; Viridiplantae; Streptophyta; Magnoliopsida; Sapindales; Rutaceae
Description: Citrus clementina (C. clementina) long non-coding RNA (CCLE_LNC004646)
Source: RNAcentral